UAGCGAAUAUUAAAAUUGUUGCAGUUAAAAAGCUCGUAGUUGGAUCCAAGGUUGGGCAUGCCUGUCUGUUCUUAGUAGCAUGACUGUGUGUGUCCGCCUUUAUUAGUUGACUGUUCAUUAUGGUGGUUUUAACCGACUGCUAUAGUGUGCUCAACACGUUUACCUUGAAAAAAUCAGAGCGAUCCAGGCAGGCCUUUGUGCUUGUAUGUUGUUGCAAGGAAUAAUAGAAUAGGACUUCGGUUCUAUUUUGUUGGUUUUGAGAAUUGAAGUAAUGAAUAAUAGAGACAGUCGGGGGCAUUUGUAUGGUGGCGUU
Molecule: ribosomal RNA, 313 nt
Filed under: Promesostoma environmental sample
Lineage: Eukaryota; Metazoa; Platyhelminthes; Rhabdocoela; Promesostomidae
Description: SSU rRNA
Rfam family: Eukaryotic small subunit ribosomal RNA
Source: RNAcentral